GCGACAGGCUUAACACAUGCAAGUCGAGGGGCAGCAUAAAAGUAGCAAUACUUGGUGGCGACCGGCGCACGGGUGAGUAACGCGUAUGCAACCUACCUAUCAGAGGGGAAUAACCCGGCGAAAGUCGGACUAAUACCGCAUAAAACAGGGGCACCGCGUGGUGAUAUUUGUUAAAGAAAUUCGCUGAUAGAUGGGCAUGCGUUCCAUUAGGUAGUUGGUGAGGUAACGGCUCACCAAGCCGACGAUGGAUAGGGGAACUGAGAGGUUGGUCCCCCACACUGGUACUGAGACACGGACCAGACUCCUACGGGAGGCAGCAGUGAGGAAUAUUGGUCAAUGGGCGGGAGCCUGAACCAGCCAAGUCGCGUGAAGGAAGAAGGAUCUAUGGUUCGUAAACUUCUUUUGCAGGGGAAUAAAGUGCAGGACGUGUCCUGUUUUGUAUGUACCCUGAGAAUAAGGAUCGGCUAACUCCGUGCCAGCCGCGGC
This 486-nucleotide ribosomal RNA is filed under the name uncultured bacterium. RNAcentral describes it as "bacterial SSU rRNA". It matches the Rfam family "Bacterial small subunit ribosomal RNA", at positions 39 to 518 of the family's 1533-position model. The record is from RNAcentral.